CUGGUAACCUCCCACACAUCCCCUCCCCUCAGCCAGCAUCAUAAUCCCCUUAGCCAGCACACCAAUUCCCCCCAUUUCUGGAUGUACCCCUAAACGUAGGGGUACCUCUUUAAAUCAUACAUCCCCUGGUAGCCCUGAUCUGGGUGAACAACAUAUCAAAAAAUCACCCAGAUCAGACCAGGGGUUCGGGAAAAGUAUGGAGGGAAUAAAAUGACCGACCGCACGAACUGCGAUAGCCGAAUUCGGUUCCAUGUGAAUGGGCCCUGCGGUCGGUCCUGGCAUAAGGGAAUAAAAUACACGAAAACCUCUAGCUAUAGAGGCUAGGGAG
Molecule: long non-coding RNA, 328 nt
Filed under: Pelobates cultripes (western spadefoot toad)
Lineage: Eukaryota; Metazoa; Chordata; Amphibia; Anura; Pelobatidae
Source: RNAcentral